GUCUUCUCAUAUGCUUCCUAAAAAUACAUAACAUGUGAGUGUUUCAUGAAAAAACCACCCUUUUUACCAUAAUUUUAAUUUAAUAUGAAACAGUUUUUUUAACAUAACUUUUUAAAUACAUGAUAAAACUAAUGUAGCCACCCUGGUUUGGCAAAGUAAACAAACCGAACUUUUUGCGGCGCACCUUUUUCGAUUUUUCUCACUGUUUUGCGGAACGGUCAUCUCUAAUUCGGCAACCAGUCGGACCAGGAAGUUUCCGCGGACACGGGAGUGCAAAAUGCGACCGAAAAAACGGCACAAACGGAUCUUGUGAACAGUGCGCAAAAGCGAAAGCUUGACGAUAGCAUCCAUAACCUCGAAGAGGAAUCGCGUUCGAAGCACCCGUACAACACCCGAGCGGCGGCGGCGGCACUUUCGUCAGCAGACCAGGUUCCCGGUAGCAGCAGCAGCAAUGGCAACAACAACGGUGCAUCAGUGGUACUGAAUGCAAACAUCCCAACCAGCAACCAGUUCGACGGGCUGGAAGAGGAGCAGGGUGACGACUCAAUUUCGUUGCGAUCAAUUAUCACACCACCUCCGCACUAUGGUACAUUGGGUGGCCAAGUUUCAAAAAAGUGACCUUCUCCAAAUAUUUUUUGGUAUUUUUUUCUCGAAAGUAAACAUUCUAACUAAGAAAAAUCCAAAUUUUCAAAGCUUUAAGUUUGUUCAUUACGGAGAUACGCAAGCUGAAAGUCAAAAAAUGGAGUAAAAAACAAGCGUUUUUCGUAAAAAAGGCUGAUUGUUUAAUUUUAACAUAGCUCAGCCAUUUUAAAUGUUUUAUUAGGACAAAUAUACAUCGUUGGAAAGGUAAUGAGAUAAGCUUUGAAACUACCCUGACUGAAAAGUCCGUCGGACGUCCGUCGUUUGUCGUCCGUGCAAUCGUACGACGUCGCUCGACAAUGUCGUGCGACUUUCGCACGAAUGUCAUACGCUUUUGCACCAAAAUGUCGUAUUUGUCGUGCGAUCGAUGAUCAAAAUUGUACGACAUUGUCGUACGACAUUCGACCGACGUCGCACGGUUUUGUUAUUUAGAAUGUCGUGCUAUUGUCGUGUGCUGUCAUUUCGGAUUUUUGGGUUAUGUUGCAGUUAAAAAAACUGUUGUUUUGUUUUUAUUGAUUUUUUUUUAUUCCAGCUGUCAAAAUUUCACAUAAAUAUUUAUUGUACACUUAAUUUCACUUGCGUAUCGCCGAUUCUUCCCCAACUUGGCUUCCUUCUGGAUUUGCCUUGACCGGCUUGGGUGUUGGUGUUCUUCUGAGGCGGCCGUGGCAGCAUCUUGGUCGUGUUGGACUUUUGUUCCUCGACGAGCUGAUCAAAACCCGGAUGCGACGCCUUGGCGACGAUCUUGGAUCUCCGACGGAUUGAUGUUUACCGGAGUACGAGGAAACGUGGGUUUUGUGGAGUACGAGUACGAAAAAAACGGAGCUGCUUCCGUGGAUUCUACGGAAGCCACGAGUGACCACACGGGAACGCAUUCCGGUUUCCGGCAGAAUCAGAUUGGAAAAUGUUUGUUGCCUGAAAAAAUAUAUCAUCAAUCAACAAUUGGCAAGAAUUUAUAAAUUAAAUUCAGAUUUCAAUAAUAAUAAUAAUUAUAAAAUUUCAA
Molecule: long non-coding RNA, 1639 nt
Organism: Culex pipiens pallens (northern house mosquito)
Lineage: Eukaryota; Metazoa; Arthropoda; Insecta; Diptera; Culicidae
Exons: 2
Source: RefSeq, a predicted model, not a curated record